Molecule: small nuclear RNA, 338 nt
Filed under: Anolis carolinensis (green anole)
Lineage: Eukaryota; Metazoa; Chordata; Lepidosauria; Squamata; Anolidae
Description: 7SK RNA
Rfam family: 7SK RNA
About the family: 7SK was discovered as an abundant small nuclear RNA in the mid-70s but a possible function has only recently been suggested.
Source: Rfam by way of RNAcentral
GGAUGUGAGGGCGAUCUAGCUGCGACAUCUGUCACCCCAUUGAUCGCCAGGGUUGAUUCGGCUGAUCUGGCUGGCUAGGCGGGUGUCCCCUUCCUCCCUCACCGCUCCAUGUGCGUCCCUCCCGAAGCUGCACGCUCGGUGGAAGAGGAUGACGUCCCAGGUAUAGAAGGAGUGUACCGAGGUCUCCAGUCUUCAGUCCCGGGUAUACGAUAGCUGCGCUCCCCUGCUAGAACCUCCAAACAAGCUCAUUCCGUAAUAUAUUGUCCUAAGCUAUCUUAUAAUAGUCCCGGGUGGAGUUAACCCUUUAUUCACCUUGUUUUUAGUAAACUCAUUUUGGU